GAAGACGAUGGGCUUUUCUUCAGACUCAACCUCUCUGGGCUUUUCUUCUCGGUUUCUUUUAAUUUUCAUUUGGGCCUUGUAACAGACCGUAGCCCAUUUACAUCUUGAGUCGAUAACCAGUCAGCUUCAAAUGAACCGAAGACUCAGUUGAACCGGAGUUAAACGGGAGAUAAAAACUCACAAAAGCCUAAAAUCAAGUUAACUGAUUUUUUCCUAUAUCGGAUCAGACCUGGAGAACGAGAUUAAAACUUCAAAGACCAUUGUGUGAUCUUCAUUAAU
This is a long non-coding RNA of Arabidopsis thaliana (thale cress), 279 nucleotides long. RefSeq annotates it as other RNA. The record is from RefSeq. NCBI's taxonomy places the organism in Eukaryota, Viridiplantae, Streptophyta, Magnoliopsida, Brassicales, Brassicaceae. The transcript has a single exon.